GAUAAUUGGUUAAGAGACUUAAAAAUUUACACAAAGCAUUUAGUAAGAACCUUGGCAAAUGAUUUUGGGCGUUACGUUACGAAAAUUAUAAGGAGGCUUAGGCCUGUGAUUUGUAAGUUCCCUUGAAAUAUAUUAAAGUAGACUUAAUAAAAUUUAUUUCGAAAAUUAACGUGAAUUGAAUCAUCUUAGUAACGUUAAAAAAAUCAAAAGAGAUGUUGUAAGUAGUAGUGAACGAAAGCAAUUUAAAGCUUAUUAAAAAUCUGACUUAUAAUUUCAUAGAAGGUACUAAUCCUGUAAUAAUGUUAAGAUUUAAAAGUAAAAUAUAAGUAAUAUGAAUUCAAAUUUGUAUGAAUAAAGGAGAACCUCCUUCUAAGCUUAAAAAAUUUUUUGACCAAUAGUGAAUGAGUACUGUGAAAAAAAGGUAAAAAUUUUCGAUAAGAAUUUUUCAAGCUAAAUGUUUAUAAUUUUUCGAAGCUUAUUACGACGAAAUGCCUUUUGCAUAAUGAGUCAGCAAGUUAAUAUAUAUUGCAAGCUUAAAUAAAAUAAUAUAUCUAAGCAAUUAAAGUAAUAUGUAUUAAACCUGAAACCAAGUGAUCUAAUCAUAAACAAGUUGAGAAUUCUUUAAACCGUUUUUGAAGACUGUACUCGUAUAUGUAGCAAAAUAUAGAGAUGAUUUGUGGUUAGGGGUGAAAAGCUAAUCAAACUUGGCGAUAGCCGGUUUUUUACGAAACGUAUUUUAGUACUACGUUAAUCAACUAAAAACUUGAGUUAGAGUACAAAAUAAGUAAAGGGGUGUAAAAGCUUACUAAAUUUUUUUAACUCCGAAUUAAAGUAUUAACAAGAUUAACAGACAGUCUUUAAGCGAGAAGGUUUAAGGACGAGAGGAAAACAAUCCAGACUGAAUAUUAAGAUUUCUAAAUUAUAACUUAGGGAAAAAAUUUAGAAGAGUCCAAAUAAUAGAACUAAUAGGCUUAGAAGCAGCCUUUUAUUAGAGAAAGCGUUUCAGCUCGCUAUUCUUCUCUUCAUGAUUUAAAAUUCAUAGAAUCUUUAAGUUAUAUAUCGAGAUAACAGACUAGUAAGAAUCUAGUGGUAGUAAAACGUUCUGUGAUUAUUCUAUAAAUUGUAAAAUUUUGGAAGGUUAAACAGAAAUGCUAAUGCUGACAUGAGUAGCGAAAAUCACGUUAAAAAAUCGUGAUCAUUUUGUGUUCAAGGGUUUCAAGGUAAUUUUAAAUACAUUGAGUUAGUCGGUCCUUAAGAGAAGAAUAAGUAUUGUACUUGAUAGGAAAUUAUUUUAGGAUACUUUUUAUAUGUGGUGAAACCAUGAAAUGAAUUAUCUAGAUAAAUUUUUGUUAAAUAAGACUUAAAAUUAUCUAUGAUUAAUUUUCGAGAAAAGAUUAUAAUCAAUUAAACCGUACUUAAACCGACACAGGUGAGCAUAUAUUGUAUGAAAAAAUUAUAUUGAAGGAACUCGGCAAAUUAACUCUGUACGUUCGCAAUAAAGAGAACCUGAAAAGAUAAGGUAAUAUAAAAACAAGAAGUAACGACUGGUUAUCAAAACCAUAGGACUCUGCAAAUUUACAAAAAGUAUAGAGUUUGACGUCUGCCCAGUGCUUAAAAAUAAAAAGUUUUGUACAUAAAAGCUAAACUUUGAAAUCUAAGUAAACGGCGGUCCUAACUAUAAGGAUCCUUAGGUAGCGAAACUCCUUGACGGGUAAGUUCCGUCCUGCAUGAAUGACGUAACGAUUGCUUCACUGUCUCCAAUAUAAAUUCAGCGAAAUUACAUUAUCUAUGAAAAUGUAGAUUACUUGCAGUAAGACGGAAAGACCCUAGAUCCUUUACUUUAUUUUUAAAUUGUGAAGAAUUGUUUAUCGUAUUAGAAUAAGUGGAAGUAAAAAAAUAAUUUACGAUUUAUGAAAUACCACUCGAUACUCUUAGUUUUUUACUUGAUUUGUAUAAAAAUGUACAAAGACCGUUUAAGAUUGGAAGUUUACUUGGGACGAGUACCUCCUAAAAGGUAACGGAGGUGUACAAAGGUAAGUAGCAAUUAUUUAAUUAAAUAAUGAAGAGUACAAUGAUAAAAACUUGCUUGACAAUAAGAUUUAUAAAUCAAAUUGAGACGAAAGUCAGUCAUAGUGACCCGAUAUACAAGAGAGGAAUUUAUUAUCGUUCAACAGAUAAAAGGAACUCUAGGGAUAACAGAUUCAUCGUGAUUGAAAGUUCAUAUUAAUGUCACGGUUUGAUACCUCGAUGUCGACUCAUCUUAUCCUGAAAUUGAAGCAGAUUUCAAGGGUCUAGUUGUUCGCUAGUAAAAAAGGUACGUGAGUUGGGUUCAGAACGUCGUGAGACAGUUCGGUCCCUAUCUACUGCAAGACCGAAAAAUAAGAAGUAUAUUUCUAGUACGAGAGGAUCGAAAUAUAUUAACCUAUGGUUUACUGAUUAUUAUGUCCAUAAUAUUGUCAUACAGCUAAGUUAAUUAUGGAUAAAUACUGAAUGCAUCAAAAUGUAUUAAACCUUCUUCGCCUUUUUCAAGAAUAAUCUAAAAGAUUAUUAGAUAGAUCGAUUUAAAAAAGUUAUUUAGUAAUAUAUUUACUUUGUAAAUACGAAUUAUUCAACAAAAUUUUAAUUUAACUU
Molecule: ribosomal RNA, 2631 nt
Filed under: Melanthalia intermedia
Lineage: Eukaryota; Rhodophyta; Florideophyceae; Gracilariales; Gracilariaceae
Description: LSU rRNA
Rfam family: Bacterial large subunit ribosomal RNA
Source: RNAcentral